Molecule: ribosomal RNA, 1078 nt
Filed under: Bacillus velezensis
Lineage: Bacteria; Bacillati; Bacillota; Bacilli; Caryophanales; Bacillaceae
Description: bacterial SSU rRNA
Rfam family: Bacterial small subunit ribosomal RNA
Source: RNAcentral
CMGUGGGMAKGGMCGGUCAGACUCCUACGGGAGGCAGCAGUAGGGAAUCUUCCGCAAUGGACGAAAGUCUGACGGAGCAACGCCGCGUGAGUGAUGAAGGUUUUCGGAUCGUAAAGCUCUGUUGUUAGGGAAGAACAAGUGCCGUUCAAAUAGGGCGGCACCUUGACGGUACCUAACCAGAAAGCCACGGCUAACUACGUGCCAGCAGCCGCGGUAAUACGUAGGUGGCAAGCGUUGUCCGGAAUUAUUGGGCGUAAAGGGCUCGCAGGCGGUUUCUUAAGUCUGAUGUGAAAGCCCCCGGCUCAACCGGGGAGGGUCAUUGGAAACUGGGGAACUUGAGUGCAGAAGAGGAGAGUGGAAUUCCACGUGUAGCGGUGAAAUGCGUAGAGAUGUGGAGGAACACCAGUGGCGAAGGCGACUCUCUGGUCUGUAACUGACGCUGAGGAGCGAAAGCGUGGGGAGCGAACAGGAUUAGAUACCCUGGUAGUCCACGCCGUAAACGAUGAGUGCUAAGUGUUAGGGGGUUUCCGCCCCUUAGUGCUGCAGCUAACGCAUUAAGCACUCCGCCUGGGGAGUACGGUCGCAAGACUGAAACUCAAAGGAAUUGACGGGGGCCCGCACAAGCGGUGGAGCAUGUGGUUUAAUUCGAAGCAACGCGAAGAACCUUACCAGGUCUUGACAUCCUCUGACAAUCCUAGAGAUAGGACGUCCCCUUCGGGGGCAGAGUGACAGGUGGUGCAUGGUUGUCGUCAGCUCGUGUCGUGAGAUGUUGGGUUAAGUCCCGCAACGAGCGCAACCCUUGAUCUUAGUUGCCAGCAUUCAGUUGGGCACUCUAAGGUGACUGCCGGUGACAAACCGGAGGARGGUGGGGGAUGACGUCAAUCAUCAUGCCCCUUAUGACSUGGGCUACACACGUGCUACAAUGGGACAGAAACAKAGGGCAGCGAAACCYGCGGAGGGUUGAGGCCAAUCCCCACAAAUCUGUUUCUCAGUUUCRGAUCGCAGUSCUGCAACSUCGACUGCCGUGAAGCUGGGAGUCGACUAGUUAUSYCGMCRGGAKWCSRGRAUCGCGGGUUUC